AACCAUAGGCGGGACACGAACCCGUAUUUACAAAUGUCCGCCGAUCUGUUGUGCUACCCAUUGUACUACCAUCGC
Non-coding RNA from Dictyocaulus viviparus (bovine lungworm), 75 nucleotides. The record is from the annotation of a GenBank genome assembly. Lineage: Eukaryota; Metazoa; Nematoda; Chromadorea; Rhabditida; Metastrongylidae.